AGAGGCGUUUGCGGCCCAGCGCCUGGACUGGACCUUGGCGUUGGGCCGCAGUUGCCCGGAGUUUUUGGGGCCCCCGGGAACCCGCGCGCCGAGGCCGGCUAAGUUUGGCAGACUCUCUGAGCUCUCGGAAUUCGACUGCCUCCAUUGUUGCUCCUUCUGGCACCCACAGACCGUAACGUGGCCGUAAUUGUUUCCCGGAGAGCUUAGCUUCCCUCUGAGCACCUCCCUCCCCUUUUUAAAGUACCUUCCCACUCGCCUGCGUUUCCUCGCGUUAGUGGUGCAGGGGCCUCCGCAUUUGGGGAAAUAACAAACACCCACUUCCGCCCCCCACCCCAACCGGGAUCCCCAGAUAAUGAGAAAUAGAUGGUGGCCCUCUGUUUGUAAGCUGUUCAUUUGCAUAGGUCGGAACCGCGCACCACAGCUUGAAGCUAGGAAUUAAAAUAUCGGUGGGAAUUAAAUAAGUGGCUGGCUUAAAGAACAUCUUCUUAAUUUAUCCCCAAAUGUAGACAUCUCUUCAGUGGACCCCCUGAUAGGCCGGUUUGCUCCAGGUGAGGUGUGCUCACAGCAACUGCAACCGUGUUUCUUUCAGACCAUGGGCGUGAGCAGAACCUACUAUGCGCCCCUGCUGCCUGGGCUGUGCUGUUCAGUUUGGGGCCACCAGCCCCACAUGGCUCCUGAGCACUUAAAGUAUGGCUAGUCGGAAUCGAGAUAUAUGCAUUCUUUACCAAAUAAUGUUCAAAAAAUUGUUACAUGUUGAAGUGAUAAACUUUUUCCAUAUAUUGGGAUAAAAGUUUUAUUUGUUUAUUUUUUAGUGUGGGUUCUACAGAAUUUUAAAUGUCACCUGUGGCCUGCAUUAUAUUGCCAUUGGGCAGGCUGAUCUAGGGCUUGCAUGCCUGUGAUCCUUAGGUGCACCCUGUGAGGUAGGUGCUUUAACUGUGUGCACCCUGUGAGGUAGGUGCUUUAACUGUGUGCACAUUGUGAGGUAGGUGCUGAAACUGCUUCCUGUUUUUUUUUUUUUUUUCUUUUGAGACGGAGUCUCACUCUGUCUCCAGGCUGGAGUGCAGUGGUGCGACCUGGGCUUACUGCAAUCUCCGCCUCCCAGGUUCAAGUGAUUCUCCUGCCUCAGCCUCCCGAGUAGCUGGGAUUACAGGGGCACGCCACCACACCCAGCUAAUUUUUGUAUUUUUAGAAGAGACGGGGUUUCACCAUGUUGGCCAUGAUGGUCUCGAUUUCUGACCUUGUCAUCCGUCCGCCUUGGCCUCCCAAAGUGCUGGGAUUACGGGCGUGAGCCACCGUACCCAGCCUGCUUCCUGUUUUAACAGACGAAGAAAUGGAAUAACUUCCAACAACACAGGUUGGAGCUGAAGGAGUGCCCAGGCUGCGGAUGGAGGAAGGACGUGCUCGGGAGAAGGUGAAGAUGGGAGAGAAGCAAGAUCUUCUGUGUUUGGACCAAGGACACAUUUCCUUACUCCAUAGCAGCUGUGGUCAGUGGCUUAGCUCGGACAAGGAGAUGAGAGCCCAUGUGUUGUGAGGGUUCUUCUGGGAACUCUGAGAAGGCAGGAGCCGCCCCCGCCCUUCACUGCCUCUCUUCCAUUCUGCAGCAUGGAAUAUGGAUGUGUGGUCUGGAUGUACAGACACCAUUUUGGACCAUAAAGACAAGGACGAUUGUCUAAGGAUGACACAGCCAGAGCACUGAGAGUGGCGAGAAGGACAGGGGAGCUGCUGUGCCAAGCAGGACUGUCUCUCUUAAGAGAAAAAUAAAAUUUAUUGGUGUUUAAACCAUUGCUUUUUUGGGCUGUCACGUCACUGGAAUUAAUCUGAAACGCUGCAGCAAUUAAUGG
RNAcentral lists this long non-coding RNA (1841 nucleotides) under Homo sapiens (human). Its description in RNAcentral is "non-protein coding DICER1-AS1:5". The record is from RNAcentral. Lineage: Eukaryota; Metazoa; Chordata; Mammalia; Primates; Hominidae.